UAUCGGAACGUGCCCAGUCGUGGGGGAGUAACGCAGCGAAAGCUGUGCUAAUACCGCAUACGAUCUAUGGAUGAAAGCGGGGGACGUCGUAAGGGCCUCGCGCGAUUGGAGCGGCCGAUAUCAGAUUAGCUAGUUGGCGGGGUAAAAGCCCACCAAGGCGACGAUCUGUAGCUGGUCUGAGAGGACGACCAGCCACACUGGAACUGAGACACGGUCCAG
Molecule: ribosomal RNA, 219 nt
Filed under: uncultured bacterium
Lineage: Bacteria
Description: partial 16S ribosomal RNA
Rfam family: Bacterial small subunit ribosomal RNA
Source: RNAcentral